This 781-nucleotide ribosomal RNA is filed under the name Penicillium sp. ASR-291. Its description in RNAcentral is "SSU rRNA". It matches the Rfam family "Eukaryotic small subunit ribosomal RNA", at positions 222 to 1000 of the family's 1831-position model. Lineage: Eukaryota; Fungi; Ascomycota; Eurotiomycetes; Eurotiales; Aspergillaceae. The record is from RNAcentral.
AAACAAGUCCUUCGGGGCUCCUUCGUGAGUCAUAAUAACUUAACGAAUCGCAUGGCCUUGCGCCGGCGAUGGUUCAUUCAAAUUUCUGCCCUAUCAACUUUCGAUGGUAGGUAUAGUGGCCUACCAUGGUGGCAACGGGUAACGGGGAAUUAGGGUUCGAUUCCGGAGAGGGAGCCUGAGAAACGGCUACCACAUCCAAGGAAGGCAGCAGGCGCGCAAAUUACCCAAUCCCGAUACGGGGAGGUAGUGACAAUAAAUACUGAUACGGGGCUCUUUUGGGUCUCGUAAUUGGAAUGAGAACAAUUUAAAUCCCUUAACGAGGAACAAUUGGAGGGCAAGUCUGGUGCCAGCAGCCGCGGUAAUUCCAGCUCCAAUAGCGUAUAUUAAAGUUGUUGCAGUUAAAAAGCUCGUAGUUGAACCUUGGGUCUGGCUGGCCGGUCCGCCUCACCGCGAGUACUGGUCCGGCUGGACCUUUCCUUCUGGGGAACCCCAUGGCCUUCACUGGCUGUGGGGGGAACCAGGACUUUUACUGUGAAAAAAUUAGAGUGUUCAAAGCAGGCCUUUGCUCGAAUACAUUAGCAUGGAAUAAUAGAAUAGGACGUGCGGUUCUAUUUUGUUGGUUUCUAGGGACCGCCGUAAUGAUUAAUAGGGAUAGUCGGGGGCGUCAGUAUUCAACUGUCAAAAGGUGAAAUUUCUUGGAUUUGCUGAAGAACUAACUACUGGCGAAAGCAUUCNCCCAAGGGAUGUUUUUCCAUUAAUUCAAGGGAAACCAAAAAGUUUA